This 484-nucleotide ribosomal RNA is filed under the name uncultured bacterium. Its description in RNAcentral is "partial 16S ribosomal RNA". It matches the Rfam family "Bacterial small subunit ribosomal RNA", at positions 30 to 507 of the family's 1533-position model. The record is from RNAcentral.
AUUGAACGCUGGCGGCAGGCCUAACACAUGCAAGUCGAGCGGAUGAAGGGAGCUUGCUCCUGGAUUCAGCGGCGGACGGGUGAGUAAUGCCUAGGAAUCUGCCUGGUAGUGGGGGAUAACGUCCGGAAACGGGCGCUAAUACCGCAUACGGCCUGAGGGCUAAAGUGGGGGAUCUUCGGACAUCACGCUAUCAGAUGAGCCUAGGUCGGAUUAGCUAGUUGGUGGGGUAAAGGCCUACCAAGGCGACGAUCCGUAACUGGUCUGAGAGGAUGAUCAGUCACACUGGAACGGAGACACGGUCCAGACUCCGACGGGAGGCAGCAGUGGGGAAUAUUGGACAAUGGGCGAAAGCCUGAUCCAGCCAUGCCGCGUGUGUGAAGAAGGUCUUCGGAUUGUAAAGCACUUUAAGUUGGGAGGAAGGGCAGUAAGUUAAUACCUUGCUGUUUUGACGUUACCAACAGAAUAAGCACCGGCUAACUUCGUG